GAUUAAGUUAUUAAGGGCGCACGGUGGAUGCCUUGGCACUAGAAGCCGAUGAAGGACGUUACUAACGACGAUAUGCUUUGGGGAGCUGUAAGUAAGCUUUGAUCCAGAGAUUUCCGAAUGGGGAAACCCAGCAUGAGUUAUGUCAUGUUAUCGAUAUGUGAAUACAUAGCAUAUCAGAAGGCACACCCGGAGAACUGAAACAUCUUAGUACCCGGAGGAAGAGAAAGAAAAUUCGAUUCCCUUAGUAGCGGCGAGCGAAACGGGAAGAGCCCAAACCAACAAGCUUGCUUGUUGGGGUUGUAGGACACUCUAUACGGAGUUACAAAGGACGACAUUAGACGAAUCAUCUGGAAAGAUGAAUCAAAGAAGGUAAUAAUCCUGUAGUCGAAAAUGUUGUCUCUCUUGAGUGGAUCCUGAGUACGACGGAGCACGUGAAAUUCCGUCGGAAUCUGGGAGGACCAUCUCCUAAGGCUAAAUACUCUCUAGUGACCGAUAGUGAACCAGUACCGUGAGGGAAAGGUGAAAAGCACCCCGGAAGGGGAGUGAAAUAGAACCUGAAACCGUGUGCUUACAAGUAGUCAGAGCCCGUUAAUGGGUGAUGGCGUGCCUUUUGUAGAAUGAACCGGCGAGUUACGAUUUGAUGCAAGGUUAAGCAGUAAAUGUGGAGCCGUAGCGAAAGCGAGUCUGAAUAGGGCGUUUAGUAUUUGGUCGUAGACCCGAAACCAGGUGAUCUACCCUUGGUCAGGUUGAAGUUCAGGUAACACUGAAUGGAGGACCGAACCGACUUACGUUGAAAAGUGAGCGGAUGAACUGAGGGUAGCGGAGAAAUUCCAAUCGAACCUGGAGAUAGCUGGUUCUCUCCGAAAUAGCUUUAGGGCUAGCCUCAAGUGAUGAUUAUUGGAGGUAGAGCACUGUUUGGACGAGGGGCCCCUCUCGGGUUACCGAAUUCAGACAAACUCCGAAUGCCAAUUAAUUUAACUUGGGAGUCAGAACAUGGGUGAUAAGGUCC
RNAcentral lists this ribosomal RNA (1009 nucleotides) under Staphylococcus aureus. Its description in RNAcentral is "partial 23S ribosomal RNA". It matches the Rfam family "Bacterial large subunit ribosomal RNA", at positions 1 to 1006 of the family's 2925-position model. Lineage: Bacteria; Bacillati; Bacillota; Bacilli; Caryophanales; Staphylococcaceae. The record is from RNAcentral.